Molecule: ribosomal RNA, 250 nt
Filed under: uncultured bacterium
Lineage: Bacteria
Description: partial 16S ribosomal RNA
Rfam family: Bacterial small subunit ribosomal RNA
Source: RNAcentral
UACGUAGGUGGCGAGCGUUAUCCGGAAUUACUGGGUGUAAAGGGAGCGCAGGCGGGGCAGCAAGUCAGCUGUGAAAUAUAUGGGCUUAACCCAUAAACUGCAGUUGAAACUGUUGCUCUUGAGUGGAGUAGAGGCAAGCGGAAUUCCGAGUGUAGCGGUGAAAUGCGUAGAUAUUCGGAGGAACACCAGUGGCGAAGGCGGCUUGCUGGGCUCUAACUGACGCUGAGGCUCGAAAGUGUGGGGAGCAAAC